GCUCUUCCUGUUUACCGGCAUUCAACAGAGGUCUGUGGUUAAAACACAGCCGUUUGGGCAUUUUAACACCGCUUGUGUCAUUUUGUGGGGCUUUGCGUACACUGGAGAGUCUAUUGUAAACAACCGUUACGUGCGGUCUGGCUCGUUACACUGCCUAGUCCCAGCAUUCCCGUGUGUUUACCGUUUGAGUGGGGACAUCCAAUAUAUGCUGUUUGGCAUCUACUUCAUUUCUAUCCCGUGGAUACUGACGUCAGCUCUGCUUUCUGGUGUGGCAAACGGCUGCGUUAUUUGGAGCUGUGUGUCCGACGGCAGUGAGGCUUUCCUUCACCGUGUGCUGUGUUAUGCUGUGUGAGCACCACUGAUAAAAUCACGGGUAUUGGAGUGAGUGUGUGUGUGUGCACUUAGUGUGAUUCUCCUCUUUUGCUCCCUCUCUUAGCCCAUUUGAUGCCAAUAGGCUACAGCUCCGAAGUAAAUGUGAAUCCUUAUUGUGGAUUGUGAUUUCCAGCUUAGUAAUUGGCUGGGUGACUAUUAUUCCUGCAUUUUAAACUUUUGUACUAAUAAACAAACUCUAUUUUGCUACCCACGUCUCUUGCUCAUUUUAUUCAGUGGAAUGAACCUGGGUUCCUUAUAACAUUUUAAGUGAACUGUGAUUCCCUGGUAUAGUCCCAGGGUGGCGUAGUCUAUUGUAUAUCUCUUGAGUGUUGAAUAUUGCUGCAAAAAGACCACUUUGCCACAUUUUGGCGUAGUCGGCAGGGUCCACUAAAUUGAACAGAGACGUGGGUGAAGAUUUCUUUGCCAGCUGGUAUUGCCAUUAUUUGCUUUUCUUUUUAUUUCACAGGAACAAGACAGCAGCGUAGACUCUUUGAAGGGUCUCUUUGGCUACCUCCCCUGAUUGUGUUUCAGGUCCAAAUUUUCUUUCUGCCCCGCCUUGCUUGGUGGAGCUGUGUGUCCGACGGCAGUGAGGCUUUCCUUCACCGUGUGCUGUGUUAUGCUGUGUGAGCACCACUGAUAAAAU
Long non-coding RNA from Cyprinus carpio carpio, 1015 nucleotides. Lineage: Eukaryota; Metazoa; Chordata; Actinopteri; Cypriniformes; Cyprinidae. The record is from Ensembl.